This 497-nucleotide ribosomal RNA is filed under the name uncultured bacterium. RNAcentral's name for it is "partial 16S ribosomal RNA". It matches the Rfam family "Bacterial small subunit ribosomal RNA", at positions 28 to 507 of the family's 1533-position model. The record is from RNAcentral.
GAUGAACGCUGGCGGCGUGCCUAAUACAUGCAAGUCGAGCGAACAGACUAGGAGCUUGCUCCUCUGACGUUAGCGGCGGACGGGUGAGUAACACGUGGAUAACCUACCUAUAAGACUGGGAUAACUUCGGGAAACCGGAGCUAAUACCGGAUAAUAUAUUGAACCGCAUGGUUCAAUAGUGAAAGACGGUUUUGCUGACACUUAUAGAUGGAUCCACGCCGCAUUAGCUAGUUGGUAAGGGAACGGCUUACCAAGGCAACGAUGCGUAGCAGACCUGGGAGGGGGAUCGCCAACACUGGAACUGAGAACCGGUCAAGAUUCCUACGGGAGGAAGCAGUAGGGAACCUUCCGCAAUGGGCGAAAGCCUGACGGAGCAACGCCGCGUGAGUGAUGAAGGUCUUCGGAUCGUAAAACUCUGUUAUUAGGGAAGAACAAAUGUGUAAGUAACUAUGCACGUCUUGACGGUACCUAAUCAGAAAGCCACGGCUAACUACGUG